Molecule: ribosomal RNA, 680 nt
Filed under: uncultured Bacillus sp.
Lineage: Bacteria; Bacillati; Bacillota; Bacilli; Caryophanales; Bacillaceae
Description: bacterial SSU rRNA
Rfam family: Bacterial small subunit ribosomal RNA
Source: RNAcentral
AGAGUUUGAUCCUGGCUCAGGAUGAACGCUGGCGGCGUGCCUAAUACAUGCAAGUCGAGCGAAUGGAUUAAGAGCUUGCUCUUAUGAAGUUAGCGGCGGACGGGUGAGUAACACGUGGGUAACCUGCCCAUAAGACUGGGAUAACUCCGGGAAACCGGGGCUAAUACCGGAUAAUAUUUUGAACUGCAUGGUUCGAAAUUGAAAGGCGGCUUCGGCUGUCACUUAUGGAUGGACCCGCGUCGCAUUAGCUAGUCGGUGAGGUAACGGCUCACCAAGGCAACGAUGCGUAGCCGACCUGAGAGGGUGAUCGGCCACACUGGGACUGAGACACGGCCCAGACUCCUACGGGAGGCAGCAGUAGGGAAUCUUCCGCAAUGGACGAAAGUCUGACGGAGCAACGCCGCGUGAGUGAUGAAGGCUUUCGGGUCGUAAAACUCUGUUGUUAGGGAAGAACAAGUGCUAGUUGAAUAAGCUGGCACCUUGACGGUACCUAACCAGAAAGCCACGGCUAACUACGUGCCAGCAGCCGCGGUAAUACGUAGGUGGCAAGCGUUAUCCGGAAUUAUUUGGCGUAAAGCGCGCGCAGGUGGUUUCUUAAGUCUGAUGUGAAAGCCCACGGCUCAACCGUGGAGGGUCAUUGGAAACUGGGAGACUUGAGUGCUGAAGAGGAAAGUGGAAUU